CUUGUGGCUGCCUUAACAUGCAGUCGAACGGCAGCACGGGGGCAACCCUGGUGGCGAGUGGCGAACGGGUGAGUAAUACAUCGGAACGUGUCCUGUAGUGGGGGAUAGCCCGGCGAAAGCCGGAUUAAUACCGCAUACGACCUAAGGGAGAAAGCGGGGGAUCUUCGGACCUCGCGCUAUAGGGGCGGCCGAUGGCAGAUUAGCUAGUUGGUGGGGUAAAGGCCUACCAAGGCGACGAUCUGUAGCUGGUCUGAGAGGACGACCAGCCACACUGGGACUGAGACACGGCCCAGACUCCUACGGGAGGCAGCAGUGGGGAAUUUUGGACAAUGGGGGCAACCCUGAUCCAGCAAUGCCGCGUGUGUGAAGAAGGCCUUCGGGUUGUAAAGCACUUUUGUCCGGAAAGAAAACUUCGUCCCUAAUAUGGAUGGAGGAUGACGGUACCGGAAGAAUAAGCACCGGCUAACUACGGCCGCGC
Molecule: ribosomal RNA, 478 nt
Filed under: Burkholderia sp. TW15D
Lineage: Bacteria; Pseudomonadati; Pseudomonadota; Betaproteobacteria; Burkholderiales; Burkholderiaceae
Description: bacterial SSU rRNA
Rfam family: Bacterial small subunit ribosomal RNA
Source: RNAcentral